This 82-nucleotide transfer RNA is filed under the name Nanofrustulum shiloi. RNAcentral's name for it is "tRNA-Leu". It matches the Rfam family "tRNA". Rfam says of the family: Transfer RNA (tRNA) molecules are approximately 80 nucleotides in length. Their secondary structure includes four short double-helical elements and three loops (D, anti-codon, and T loops). Further hydrogen bonds mediate the characteristic L-shaped molecular structure. tRNAs have two regions of fundamental functional importance: the anti-codon, which is responsible for specific mRNA codon recognition, and the 3' end, to which the tRNAs corresponding amino acid is attached (by aminoacyl-tRNA synthetases). tRNAs cope with the degeneracy of the genetic code in two manners: having more than one tRNA (with a specific anti-codon) for a particular amino acid; and 'wobble' base-pairing, i.e. permitting non-standard base-pairing at the 3rd anti-codon position. Lineage: Eukaryota; Bacillariophyta; Fragilariophyceae; Staurosirales; Staurosiraceae. The record is from RNAcentral.
GCGGAUGUGGCGAAAUUGGUAAACGCGCUAGUUUUAGAAACUAGUAACUUUUGUUUUGAGAGUUCAAGUCUCUCCAUCCGCA